GACAAUCCUCUUCCUCGGGCAUUUCCCACUCUGUUAAUUUCUUUGCUUGUUUGACAUAGUCUUUACUUAUCAGCCCAUGGAUACUAGAUUCCAGUGUUUUUUAUCAUAUCUUAAGUAAAAAAAAUCUUUUCUCCACCCUUGCUUCUCCUCAUACUCCAUCUAAAGUGACUUCAGCUAAUGGUUCACAAACUGUGGUUAAAGGAAUAGGGAAAGUACAACUUCUUCCUUCUGUUUCUUUAACCUCCGCCCUAUUUGCCUUUGAAUGCCCAUAUGAUUUGAUUUCCAUUAGCAAAUUAA
Molecule: unclassified non-coding RNA, 297 nt
Filed under: Hevea brasiliensis (rubber tree)
Lineage: Eukaryota; Viridiplantae; Streptophyta; Magnoliopsida; Malpighiales; Euphorbiaceae
Source: RNAcentral